Populus euphratica (Euphrates poplar) is the source of this 520-nucleotide long non-coding RNA. RefSeq lists it as uncharacterized. The record is from RefSeq and is a predicted model, not a curated record. The transcript is spliced from 2 exons. Lineage: Eukaryota; Viridiplantae; Streptophyta; Magnoliopsida; Malpighiales; Salicaceae.
GAAUACAAUAGCCAACCAUAAAAAGGCAUGUAAAGUGCAACUUUUGUGACAUUGUUUGAUAGAACGCCAUCUCAACCAAGAAUGCCCCGGAAAAAUUUAGGCAAGAAAUGACGAGAUUAAAAGCUUGAGAUUUAACUUGGACAUAUAAUCACAUGAAUUAGAAAUUCACGGGUGUGACUUCACAAUUUAAAGGAAAAAGGAUAUACAACAAUCCGCGUCAGGAAUGAAUGCGAACUGAAUUUACUACAACAUGCAUGCCAUGAACAUCAUGUAUGAGCUUCUUAAACUAAACUUAGCUCAUUUUUAUCCAUCUACUAACGAUAUUUUUCUGUCAACAAGCAACGAAUUUGGUUCUUGUUUCAUUUUAUAGACAAAAGAAAACCAAUGCAAACUAUGAUAUUUGCAUGAUUCCUCAAAUCAUACAUCUACAACUCUAGCCAAAAGAACGAGCUCUUUCUCCGAGAAAUUUAAUAUAUUCUUUCACGCACCAGUUGAGCCCAUAUAGCUUAGAGCAUAGACA